UACGUAGGGUGCAAGCGUUACUCGGAAUUACUGGGCGUAAAGCGUGCGCAGGCGGUUGUGCAAGACCGAUGUGAAAUCCCCGGGCUUAACCUGGGAAUGGCAUUGGUGACUGCACGGCUAGAGUGUGUCAGAGGGGGGUAGAAUUCCACGUGUAGCAGUGAAAUGCGUAGAGAUGUGGAGGAAUACCGAUGGCGAAGGCAGCCCCCUGGGAUAACACUGACGCUCAUGCACGAAAGCGUGGGUAGCAAACAGG
Molecule: ribosomal RNA, 253 nt
Filed under: uncultured bacterium
Lineage: Bacteria
Description: partial 16S ribosomal RNA
Rfam family: Bacterial small subunit ribosomal RNA
Source: RNAcentral